GACGAACGCUGGCGGCGUGCUUAACACAUGCAAGUCGAACGGAAAGGCCCUGCUUUUGUGGGGUGCUCGAGUGGCGAACGGGUGAGUAACACGUGAGUAACCUGCCCUUGACUUUGGGAUAACUUCAGGAAACUGGGGCUAAUACCGGAUAGGAGCUCCUGCUGCAUGGUGGGGGUUGGAAAGUUUCGGCGGUGGGGGAUGGACUCGCGGCUUAUCAGCUUGUUGGUGGGGUAGUGGCUUACCAAGGCAUUGACGGGUAGCCGGCCUGAGAGGGUGACCGGCCACAUUGGGACUGAGAUACGGCCCAGACUCCUACGGGAGGCAGCAGUGGGGAAUAUUGCACAAUGGGCGGAAGCCUGAUGCAGCAACGCCGCGUGUGGGAUGACGGCCUUCGGGUUGUAAACCGCUUUCGCCUGUGACGAAGCGUGAGUGACGGUAAUGGGUAAAGAAGCACCGGCUAACUACGUG
RNAcentral lists this ribosomal RNA (468 nucleotides) under uncultured bacterium. Its description in RNAcentral is "partial 16S ribosomal RNA". It matches the Rfam family "Bacterial small subunit ribosomal RNA", at positions 28 to 507 of the family's 1533-position model. The record is from RNAcentral.